GGAUGAACGCUAGCUACAGGCUUAACACAUGCAAGUCGAGGGGAAACGGCAAUGAAUGCUUGCAUUUAUUGGACGUCGACCGGCGCACGGGUGAGUAUCGCGUAUCCAACCUGCCUAUUACUUGAGAAUACCCCGUUGAAAGGCGGUCUAAUACUCAAUACUUUCAUAAAUUGGCAUCAUGCUAUGAAAAAAGAUUUAUCGGUAAUAGAUGGGGAUGCGUCUGAUUAGUUAGUUGGUGAGGUAACGGCUCACCAAGGCGACGAUCAGUAGGGGUUCUGAGAGGAAGGUCCCCCACAUUGGAACUGAGACACGGUCCAAACUCCUACGGGAGGCAGCAGUGAGGAAUAUUGGUCAAUGGGCGUAAGCCUGAACCAGCCAAGUAGCGUGUAGGAAUACAGCCCUAUGGGUUUUAAACUACUUUUGUUAGGGAAUAAAGUGUGCCACGUGCUGGCAUAUUGCAUGUACCUAUCGAAUAAGGACCGGCUAAUUCCGUGCCAGCAGCCGCGGUAAUACGGAAGGUCCAGGCGUUAUCCGGAUUUAUUGGGUUUAAAGGGAGCGUAGGCUGGAGAUUAAGUGUGUUGUGAAAUGUAGACGCUCAACGUCUGAAUUGCAGCGCAUACUGGUUUCCUUGAGUACGCACAACGUUGGCGGAAUUCGUCGUGUAGCGGUGAAAUGCUUAGAUAUGACGAAGAACUCCGAUUGCGAAGGCAGCUGACGGGAGCGCAACUGACGCUUAAGCUCGAAGGUGCGGGUAUCAAACAGGAUUAGAUACCCUGGUAGUCCGCACAGUAAACGAUGGAUGCCCGCUGUUGGUACCUGGUAUCAGCGGCUAAGCGAAAGCAUUAAGCAUCCCCACCUGGGGAGUACGCCGGCAACGGUGAAACUUCAAAGGAAUUUGACCGGGGGCCCGC
This 911-nucleotide ribosomal RNA is filed under the name uncultured bacterium. RNAcentral's name for it is "bacterial SSU rRNA". It matches the Rfam family "Bacterial small subunit ribosomal RNA", at positions 27 to 924 of the family's 1533-position model. The record is from RNAcentral.